This 499-nucleotide ribosomal RNA is filed under the name uncultured bacterium. RNAcentral's name for it is "partial 16S ribosomal RNA". It matches the Rfam family "Bacterial small subunit ribosomal RNA", at positions 28 to 507 of the family's 1533-position model. The record is from RNAcentral.
GACGAACGCUGGCGGCGUGCCUAAUACAUGCAAGUCGAGCGGACUUUCAAGAAGCUUGCUUUUUGAAAGUUAGCGGCGGACGGGUGAGUAACACGUGGGCAACCUGCCUGCAAGACGGGGAUAACUCCGGGAAACCGGGGCUAAUACCGGAUAAUAUCUUCCUUCGCAUGAAGGAAGGUUGAAAGGCGGCGCAAGCUGCCGCUUGCAGAUGGGCCCGCGGCGCAUUAGCUAGUUGGUGAGGUAACGGCUCACCAAGGCGACGAUGCGUAGCCGACCUGAGAGGGUGAUCGGCCACACUGGGACGGAGACACGGCCCAGACUCCUACGGGAGGCAGCAGUAGGGAAUCUUCCGCAAUGGACGAAAGUCUGACGGAGCAACGCCGCGUGAGCGAAGAAGGUCGUCGGAUCGUGAAGCUCUGUUGUCAGGGAAGAACAAGUACCGUUCGAACAGGGCGGUACCUUGACGGUACCUGACCAGAAAGCCACGGCUAACUACGUG